GACUAACGCUGGCGGCGUGCUUAACACAUGCAAGUCGACCGCGUGGCGAACGGUUGAGUAACACGUUGGUGAUCUGCCUUGCACUUCGGGAUAAGCUUGGGACACUGGGUCUAAUACCUGAUAGUGCAAGAUUAGCUCGCUGCCUAUCAGCUUGUUGGUGGGGUAAUGGCGACCCAGACGCGACGGGUAGACGGCCUGAGAGGGUGUACGGCCACAUUGGGACUGAGAUACGGCCCAGACUCCUACGGGAGGCAGCAGUGGGGAAUAUUGCACAAUGGGCGGAAGUGUGAUGCAGCGACGCCGGGUGGGGGAUGAAGGCCUUGGGGUUGUAAACUCCUUUCGACAGGGACGCGGUACCUGUAUAAGAAGCACCGGCUAACUACGUGCCAGCAGCCGCGGUAAUAC
RNAcentral lists this ribosomal RNA (405 nucleotides) under uncultured bacterium. RNAcentral describes it as "partial 16S ribosomal RNA". It matches the Rfam family "Bacterial small subunit ribosomal RNA", at positions 28 to 526 of the family's 1533-position model. The record is from RNAcentral.